GCUGAGGUAGCCAAGCGGACCACGGCGCCAGCCUUGAGAGCUGGUCUCCCGAAAGGGGGACGGGAGUUCGAAUCUCUCCCUCAGCG
This 86-nucleotide transfer RNA is filed under the name Methanocella conradii HZ254. RNAcentral describes it as "tRNA-Ser (TGA) (tRNA-Ser-TGA-1-1)". It matches the Rfam family "tRNA". From Rfam's summary of the family: Transfer RNA (tRNA) molecules are approximately 80 nucleotides in length. Their secondary structure includes four short double-helical elements and three loops (D, anti-codon, and T loops). Further hydrogen bonds mediate the characteristic L-shaped molecular structure. tRNAs have two regions of fundamental functional importance: the anti-codon, which is responsible for specific mRNA codon recognition, and the 3' end, to which the tRNAs corresponding amino acid is attached (by aminoacyl-tRNA synthetases). tRNAs cope with the degeneracy of the genetic code in two manners: having more than one tRNA (with a specific anti-codon) for a particular amino acid; and 'wobble' base-pairing, i.e. permitting non-standard base-pairing at the 3rd anti-codon position. RNAcentral also lists the same sequence under 1 other name. The record is from Rfam by way of RNAcentral. Lineage: Archaea; Methanobacteriati; Methanobacteriota; Methanomicrobia; Methanocellales; Methanocellaceae.